CAUGUGGUUUAAUUCGAAGCAACGCGAAGAACCUUACCAGGCCUUGACAUGCAGAGAACUUUCCAGAGAUGGAUUGGUGCCUUCGGGAACUCUGACACAGGUGCUGCAUGGCUGUCGUCAGCUCGUGUCGUGAGGUGUUGGGUUAAGUCCCGCAACGAGCGCAACCCCUGCAUUCAGUUGCCAUCGGUGAGGCCGGGCACUCUGGAUGGACUGCCGGCGACAAGCCGGAGGAAGGUGGGGACGACGUCAAGUCAUCAUGGCCCUUAUGUCCAGGGCGACACACGUGCUACAAUGGCCGGCACAGCGGGAAGCGAAGGGGCGACUCUGAGCGGAUCCCUUAAAGCCGGUCCCAGUUCGGAUUGCAGUCUGCAACUCGACUGCAUGAAGUUGGAAUCGCUAGUAAUCGUGGAUCAGCCAAGCCGCGGUGAAUACGUUCCCGGGCCUU
Molecule: ribosomal RNA, 445 nt
Filed under: uncultured Thermovirga sp.
Lineage: Bacteria; Thermotogati; Synergistota; Synergistia; Synergistales; Thermovirgaceae
Description: bacterial SSU rRNA
Rfam family: Bacterial small subunit ribosomal RNA
Source: RNAcentral